GGGUUGUGAGGUUAAGCGACUAAGCGUACACGGUGGAUGCCCUGGCAGUCAGAGGCGAUGAAGGGCGUGCUAAUCUGCGAUAAGCGCCGGUAAGGUGAUAUGAACCGUUAUAACCGGCGAUACCCGAAUGGGGAAACCCAGUGUGAUUCGUCACACUAUCAUUAACUGAAUCCAUAGGUUAAUGAGGCGAACCGGGGGAACUGAAACAUCUAAGUACCCCGAGGAAAAGAAAUCAACCGAGAUUCCCCCAGUAGCGGCGAGCGAACGGGGAGGAGCCCAGAGCCUGAAUCAGCAUGUGUGUUAGUGGAAGCGUCUGGAAAGGCGCGCGAUACAGGGUGACAGCCCCGUACACAAAAGCGCAUGUGCUGUGAGCUCGAUGAGUAGGGCGGGACACGUGGUAUCCUGUCUGAAUAUGGGGGGACCAUCCUCCAAGGCUAAAUACUCCUGACUGACCGAUAGUGAACCAGUACCGUGAGGGAAAGGCGAAAAGAACCCCGGCGAGGGGAGUGAAAAAGAACCUGAAACCGUGUACGUACAAGCAGUGGGAGCNNNNNNNNNNNNNNNNNNNNNNNNNNNNNNNNNNNNNNNNNNNNNNNNNNNNNNNNNNNNNGGGCGUUAAGUUGCAGGGUAUAGACCCGAAACCCGGUGAUCUAGCCAUGGGCAGGUUGAAGGUUGGGUAACACUAACUGGAGGACCGAACCGACUAAUGUUGAAAAAUUAGCGGAUGACCUGUGGCUGGGGGUGAAAGGCCAAUCAAACCGGGAGAUAGCUGGUUCUCCCCGAAAGCUAUUUAGGUAGCGCCUCGUGAAUUCAUCUCCGGGGGUAGAGCACUGUUUCGGCUAGGGGGCCAUCCCGGCUUACCAACCCGAUGCAAACUGCGAAUACCGGAGAAUGUUAUCACGGGAGACACACGGCGGGUGCUAACGUCCGUCGUGAAGAGGGAAACAACCCAGACCGCCAGCUAAGGUCCCAAAGUCAUGGUUAAGUGGGAAACGAUGUGGGAAGGCCCAGACAGCCAGGAUGUUGGCUUAGAAGCAGCCAUCAUUUAAAGAAAGCGUAAUAGCUCACUGGUCGAGUCGGCCUGCGCGGAAGAUGUAACGGGGCUAAACCAUGCACCGAAGCUGCGGCAGCGACACUGUGUGUUGUUGGGUAGGGGAGCGUUCUGUAAGCCUGCGAAGGUGGCCUGUGAGGGUUGCUGGAGGUAUCAGAAGUGCGAAUGCUGACAUAAGUAACGAUAAAGCGGGUGAAAAGCCCGCUCGCCGGAAGACCAAGGGUUCCUGUCCAACGUUAAUCGGGGCAGGGUGAGUCGACCCCUAAGGCGAGGCCGAAAGGCGUAGUCGAUGGGAAACGGGUUAAUAUUCCCGUACUUGGUGUUACUGCGAAGGGGGGACGGAGAAGGCUAUGUUGGCCGGGCGACGGUUGUCCCGGUUUAAGCGUGUAGGUGUGUGUUCCAGGUAAAUCCGGUUCACUUUAACACUGAGGCGUGACGACGAGGCACUACGGUGCUGAAGCAACAAAUGCCCUGCUUCCAGGAAAAGCCUCUAAGCAUCAGGUAACAUCAAAUCGUACCCCAAACCGACACAGGUGGUCAGGUAGAGAAUACCAAGGCGCUUGAGAGAACUCGGGUGAAGGAACUAGGCAAAAUGGUGCCGUAACUUCGGGAGAAGGCACGCUGACACGUAGGUGAAGUGAUUUACUCAUGGAGCUGAAGUCAGUCGAAGAUACCAGCUGGCUGCAACUGUUUAUUAAAAACACAGCACUGUGCAAACACGAAAGUGGACGUAUACGGUGUGACGCCUGCCCGGUGCCGGAAGGUUAAUUGAUGGGGUCAGCGCAAGCGAAGCUCCUGAUCGAAGCCCCGGUAAACGGCGGCCGUAACUAUAACGGUCCUAAGGUAGCGAAAUUCCUUGUCGGGUAAGUUCCGACCUGCACGAAUGGCGUAAUGAUGGCCAGGCUGUCUCCACCCGAGACUCAGUGAAAUUGAACUCGCUGUGAAGAUGCAGUGUACCCGCGGCAAGACGGAAAGACCCCGUGAACCUUUACUAUAGCUUGACACUGAACAUUGAGCCUUGAUGUGUAGGAUAGGUGGGAGGCUUUGAAGUGUGGACGCCAGUCUGCAUGGAGCCGACCUUGAAAUACCACCCUUUAAUGUUUGAUGUUCUAACGUGGACCCGUUACCCGGGUUGCGGACAGUGUCUGGUGGGUAGUUUGACUGGGGCGGUCUCCUCCUAAAGAGUAACGGAGGAGCACGAAGGUUGGCUAAUCCUGGUCGGACAUCAGGAGGUUAGUGCAAUGGCAUAAGCCAGCUUGACUGCGAGCGUGACGGCGCGAGCAGGUGCGAAAGCAGGUCAUAGUGAUCCGGUGGUUCUGAAUGGAAGGGCCAUCGCUCAACGGAUAAAAGGUACUCCGGGGAUAACAGGCUGAUACCGCCCAAGAGUUCAUAUCGACGGCGGUGUUUGGCACCUCGAUGUCGGCUCAUCACAUCCUGGGGCUGAAGUAGGUCCCAAGGGUAUGGCUGUUCGCCAUUUAAAGUGGUACGCGAGCUGGGUUUAGAACGUCGUGAGACAGUUCGGUCCCUAUCUGCCGUGGGCGCUGGAGAACUGAGGGGGGCUGCUCCUAGUACGAGAGGACCGGAGUGGACGCAUCACUGGUGUUCGGGUUGUCAUGCCAAUGGCACUGCCCGGUAGCUAAAUGCGGAAGAGAUAAGUGCUGAAAGCAUCUAAGCACGAAACUUGCCCCGAGAUGAGUUCUCCCUGAGACUUAGAGUCUCCUGAAGGAACGUUGAAGACGACGACGUUGAUAGGCCGGGUGUGUAAGCGCAGCGAUGCGUUGAGCUAACCGGUACUAAUGAACCGUGAGGCUUAACCUUACAACGCCGAAG
Molecule: ribosomal RNA, 2881 nt
Filed under: Salmonella enterica subsp. enterica serovar Enteritidis
Lineage: Bacteria; Pseudomonadati; Pseudomonadota; Gammaproteobacteria; Enterobacterales; Enterobacteriaceae
Description: 23S ribosomal RNA
Rfam family: Bacterial large subunit ribosomal RNA
Source: RNAcentral